RNAcentral lists this ribosomal RNA (2052 nucleotides) under Salmonella enterica subsp. enterica. Its description in RNAcentral is "partial 23S ribosomal RNA". It matches the Rfam family "Bacterial large subunit ribosomal RNA", at positions 769 to 2802 of the family's 2925-position model. The record is from RNAcentral. RNAcentral also lists the same sequence under 1 other name. Lineage: Bacteria; Pseudomonadati; Pseudomonadota; Gammaproteobacteria; Enterobacterales; Enterobacteriaceae.
GAGGACCGAACCGACUAAUGUUGAAAAAUUAGCGGAUGACCUGUGGCUGGGGGUGAAAGGCCAAUCAAACCGGGAGAUAGCUGGUUCUCCCCGAAAGCUAUUUAGGUAGCGCCUCGUGAAUUCAUCUCCGGGGGUAGAGCACUGUUUCGGCUAGGGGGCCAUCCCGGCUUACCAACCCGAUGCAAACUGCGAAUACCGGAGAAUGUUAUCACGGGAGACACACGGCGGGUGCUAACGUCCGUCGUGAAGAGGGAAACAACCCAGACCGCCAGCUAAGGUCCCAAAGUCAUGGUUAAGUGGGAAACGAUGUGGGAAGGCCCAGACAGCCAGGAUGUUGGCUUAGAAGCAGCCAUCAUUUAAAGAAAGCGUAAUAGCUCACUGGUCGAGUCGGCCUGCGCGGAAGAUGUAACGGGGCUAAACCAUGCACCGAAGCUGCGGCAGCGACACUGUGUGUUGUUGGGUAGGGGAGCGUUCUGUAAGCCUGUGAAGGUGUGUCGUGAGGCAUGCUGGAGGUAUCAGAAGUGCGAAUGCUGACAUAAGUAACGAUAAAGCGGGUGAAAAGCCCGCUCGCCGGAAGACCAAGGGUUCCUGUCCAACGUUAAUCGGGGCAGGGUGAGUCGACCCCUAAGGCGAGGCCGAAAGGCGUAGUCGAUGGGAAACGGGUUAAUAUUCCCGUACUUGGUGUUACUGCGAAGGGGGGACGGAGAAGGCUAUGUUGGCCGGGCGACGGUUGUCCCGGUUUAAGCGUGUAGGUGUGUGUUCCAGGUAAAUCCGGUUCACUUUAACACUGAGGCGUGACGACGAGGCACUACGGUGCUGAAGCAACAAAUGCCCUGCUUCCAGGAAAAGCCUCUAAGCAUCAGGUAACAUCAAAUCGUACCCCAAACCGACACAGGUGGUCAGGUAGAGAAUACCAAGGCGCUUGAGAGAACUCGGGUGAAGGAACUAGGCAAAAUGGUGCCGUAACUUCGGGAGAAGGCACGCUGACACGUAGGUGAAGUGAUUUACUCAUGGAGCUGAAGUCAGUCGAAGAUACCAGCUGGCUGCAACUGUUUAUUAAAAACACAGCACUGUGCAAACACGAAAGUGGACGUAUACGGUGUGACGCCUGCCCGGUGCCGGAAGGUUAAUUGAUGGGGUCAGCGCAAGCGAAGCUCCUGAUCGAAGCCCCGGUAAACGGCGGCCGUAACUAUAACGGUCCUAAGGUAGCGAAAUUCCUUGUCGGGUAAGUUCCGACCUGCACGAAUGGCGUAAUGAUGGCCAGGCUGUCUCCACCCGAGACUCAGUGAAAUUGAACUCGCUGUGAAGAUGCAGUGUACCCGCGGCAAGACGGAAAGACCCCGUGAACCUUUACUAUAGCUUGACACUGAACAUUGAGCCUUGAUGUGUAGGAUAGGUGGGAGGCUUUGAAGUGUGGACGCCAGUCUGCAUGGAGCCGACCUUGAAAUACCACCCUUUAAUGUUUGAUGUUCUAACGUGGACCCGUUACCCGGGUUGCGGACAGUGUCUGGUGGGUAGUUUGACUGGGGCGGUCUCCUCCUAAAGAGUAACGGAGGAGCACGAAGGUUGGCUAAUCCUGGUCGGACAUCAGGAGGUUAGUGCAAUGGCAUAAGCCAGCUUGACUGCGAGCGUGACGGCGCGAGCAGGUGCGAAAGCAGGUCAUAGUGAUCCGGUGGUUCUGAAUGGAAGGGCCAUCGCUCAACGGAUAAAAGGUACUCCGGGGAUAACAGGCUGAUACCGCCCAAGAGUUCAUAUCGACGGCGGUGUUUGGCACCUCGAUGUCGGCUCAUCACAUCCUGGGGCUGAAGUAGGUCCCAAGGGUAUGGCUGUUCGCCAUUUAAAGUGGUACGCGAGCUGGGUUUAGAACGUCGUGAGACAGUUCGGUCCCUAUCUGCCGUGGGCGCUGGAGAACUGAGGGGGGCUGCUCCUAGUACGAGAGGACCGGAGUGGACGCAUCACUGGUGUUCGGGUUGUCAUGCCAAUGGCACUGCCCGGUAGCUAAAUGCGGAAGAGAUAAGUGCUGAAAGCAUCUAAGCACGAAACUUGCCCCGA